UGCCGAGAUCGUCCGUUCGUUCUGACACGCGGAAUCAUAAUCCGCGUGUCGGGGGUUCAAAUCCCUCCUCCGCUACCA
RNAcentral lists this transfer RNA (78 nucleotides) under Devosia sp. Leaf64. Its description in RNAcentral is "tRNA-Met". The record is from RNAcentral. Lineage: Bacteria; Pseudomonadati; Pseudomonadota; Alphaproteobacteria; Hyphomicrobiales; Devosiaceae.